RNAcentral lists this ribosomal RNA (492 nucleotides) under uncultured bacterium. RNAcentral describes it as "partial 16S ribosomal RNA". It matches the Rfam family "Bacterial small subunit ribosomal RNA", at positions 29 to 507 of the family's 1533-position model. The record is from RNAcentral.
AGUGAACGUUGGCGGUAGGCCUAACACAUGCAAGUCGAACGGCAGCACAGUAAGAGCUUGCUCUUACGGGUGGCGAGUGGCGGACGAGUGAGGAAUACAUCGGAAUCUACUUUUUCGUGGGGGAUAACGUAGGGAAACUUACGCUAAUACCGCAUACGACCUACGGGUGAAAGCAGGGGAUCUUCGGACCUUGCGCGAUUGAAUGAGCCGAUGUCGGAUUAGCUAGUUGGCGGGGUAAAGGCCCACCAAGGCGACGAUCCGUAGCUGGUCUGAGAGGAUGAUCAGCCACACUGGAACUGAGACACGGUCCAGACUCCUACGGGAGGCAGCAGUGGGGAAUAUUGGACAAUGGGCGCAAGCCUGAUCCAGCCAUACCGCGUGGGUGAAGAAGGCCUUCGGGUUGUAAAGCCCUUUUGUUGGGAAAGAAAAGCAGCAGGUUAAUACCCCGCUGUUCUGACGGUACCCAAAGAAUAAGCACCGGCUAACUUCGUG